UCCAGCCCACGCGUGUGGACCGAGGGUGGUUUGUCUUUCCCUUUGGGAAGAACCCAUGGUGGGUGUACCUGGCCAGCGCGCUGCCUGCCCUGCUCGUCACCAUCCUCAUCUUCAUGGACCAGCAGAUCACAGCCGUCAUCGUCAACAGGAAGGAGCACAAGCUGCGGAAAGCAGCAGGCUACCACCUGGACCUCUUCUGGGUGGGCAUCCUCAUGGCAGUGUGCUCCUUCAUGGGGCUGCCCUGGUACGUGGCAGCCACCGUCAUCUCCAUCGCCCACAUCGACAGCUUGAAGAUGGAGACAGAGACCAGCGCUCCGGGGGAGCAGCCCCAGUUCCUGGGGGUCAGGGAGCAGAGGGUGACGGGCAUCAUCGUCUUCGUGCUCACAGGGAUUUCUGUCUUCCUGGCCCCGAUUCUGAAGGUAAAACACCCCCCACUGCCUCAUCCCUGCUCUGC
RNAcentral lists this long non-coding RNA (454 nucleotides) under Chrysolophus pictus (golden pheasant). Its description in RNAcentral is "lncRNA (ENSCPIG00010012562.1)". The record is from RNAcentral. Lineage: Eukaryota; Metazoa; Chordata; Aves; Galliformes; Phasianidae.